UUCGGAAUUCAGUGAUCCUAUGCUGCCGAGAAAAGCCUCUAGUGAGUUCAUACACGGCCCGUACCCCAAACCGACACAGGUGAUCAGGUAGAGAAUACCAAGGCGAUCGAGAGAACUGUGGUUAAGGAACUCGGCAAAAUGCCCCCGUAACUUCGGGAGAAGGGGGACCAUGCCCGGUGAACAUCUUCACGGUGGGAGCUGGGUGUGGUCGCAGAGACCAGAGAGAAGCGACUGUUUACUAAAAACACAGGUCCGUGCGAAGACGUAAGUCGAUGUAUACGGACUGACGCCUGCCCGGUGCUGGAAGGUUAAGAGGACCGGUUAGCCGUAAGGCGAAGCUGAGAAUUUAAGCCCCAGUAAACGGCGGUGGUAACUAUAACCAUCCUAAGGUAGCGAAAUUCCUUGUCGGGUAAGUUCCGACCUGCACGAAUGGCGUAACGACUUCUCUGCUGUCUCGACCACAGACUCGGCGAAAUUGCACUACGAGUAAAGAUGCUCGUUACGCGCGGCAGGACGAAAAGACCCCGGGACCUUUACUAUAGCUUGGUAUUGGCGUUCGAUUCGGUUUGUGUAGGAUAGGUGGGAGACUGUGAAGCAUGCACGCCAGUGUGUGUGGAGUCGUUGUUGAAAUACCACUCUGAUCGUAUUGGACGUCUAACCUCGGCCCAUGAUCUGGGUUAGGGACAGUGCCUGGUGGGUAGUUUAACUGGGGCGGUUGCCUCCUAAAGAGUAACGGAGGCGCCCAAAGGUUCCCUCAGCCUGGAUGGCAAUCAGGUGUUGAGUGCAAGUGCACAAGGGAGCUUGACUGUGAGACUGACACGUCGAGCAGGGACGAAAGUCGGGACUAGUGAUCCGGCACCGGCAAGUGGAAGCGGUGUCGCUCAACGGAUAAAAGGUACCCCGGGGGUAACAGGCUGAUCUUCCCCAAGAGUCCAUAUCGACGGGAUGGUUUGGCACCUCGAUGUCGGCUCGUCGCAUCCUGGGGCUGGAGUAGGUCCCAAGGGUUGGGCUGUUCGCCCAUUAAAGCGGCACGCGAGCUGGGUUUAGAACGUCGUGAGACAGUUCGGUCUCUAUCCGCCGCGCGCGUAAGAAACUUGAGGAAGGCUGUCCCUAGUACGAGAGGACCGGGACGGACGAACCCCUGGUGUGCCAGUUGUUCCACCAGGAGCAUGGCUGGUUAGCUACGUUCGGAAGGGAUAACCGCUGAAAGCAUCUAAGCGGGAAGCCUGUUCCAAGAUGAGGUUUCUCACCACCUUGCGUGGUUAAGGCCCCCUACAGACCAUGGGGUUGAUAGGCCGGAACUGGAAGCGCAGCAAUGCGUGGAGGUGACCGGUACUAAUAGGCUGAGGGCUUU
RNAcentral lists this ribosomal RNA (1354 nucleotides) under metagenome. RNAcentral's name for it is "bacterial LSU rRNA". It matches the Rfam family "Bacterial large subunit ribosomal RNA", at positions 1583 to 2925 of the family's 2925-position model. The record is from RNAcentral.